RNAcentral lists this ribosomal RNA (484 nucleotides) under uncultured bacterium. RNAcentral describes it as "partial 16S ribosomal RNA". It matches the Rfam family "Bacterial small subunit ribosomal RNA", at positions 30 to 507 of the family's 1533-position model. The record is from RNAcentral.
AUUGAACGCUGGCGGCAGGCCUAACACAUGCAAGUCGAGCGGAUGAAGGGAGCUUGCUCCUGGAUUCAGCGGCGGACGGGUGAGUAAUGCCUAGGAAUCUGCCUGGUAGUGGGGGAUAACGUCCGAAAACGGGCGCUAAUACCGCAUACGUCCUGAGGGAGAAAGUGGGGGAUCUUCGGACCUCCCGCUAUCAGAUGAGCCUAGGUCGGAUUAGCUAGUUGGUGGGGUAAAGGCCUACCAAGGCGACGAUCCGUAACUGGUCUGAGAGGAUGAUCAGUCACACUGGAACUGAGACACGGUCCAGACUCCUACGGGAGGCAGCAGUGGGGAAUAUUGGACAAAGGGCGAAAGCCUGAUCCAGCCAUGCCGCGUGUGUGAAGAAGGUCUUCGGAUUGUAAAGCACUUUAAGUUGGGAGGAAGGGCAGUAAGUUAAUACCUUGCUGUUUUGACGGUACCAACAGAAUAAGCACCGGCUAACUUCGUG